CUGAAAGGGCUGCUGGUCUUCAGCGCUGGAACCCCCCAGCCCCGACUCCCAGCGGGCAUCUUGGAAGAAGGCCUGGCCGUGCUGAGGCCACCAGCAGGCCGUUCACUGACCAGGACAUGUUCCUUUCACAUCGUGGCACCAUCGAGACUUGUUGAAUGGGACCAGAAGGGGAGCUCUUCAUGGGGGAGAGACAGAGUCUUGGUGCCCUAUGGACCACUGGCCAAGUUCAGUGAGAGCUUGGCGCAUAGACGAUACGGACAUGUUUGUGGGCUGAAUGAGCAGAUGCACAAGUGAAUGGGUCCUAAACACCGUUGGAGCGUCCGGGCUGCUCGGGGUGAAAAUACGGGCUUAUCAGACAAAUUAGGAGUUAAAUCAGGUAGCAACCCAGAUGGUGUCUAGCCUUUCAAAAUUAUAAUUGCAGAUCUGAGAACAAGGAAAAAUAUAGCCUAGAAUGGUACGAAAUAUGGUGGGGAAGAAAACCACAGUGAUUUUUUUCCCUGAGAAUGCUACUCAAGAUGAGCUGAAAGCUCACCGCCGACGGCCUUCAGAUAAUCUGAUCCCUGGAACUCUGCAAGCAUGGGGUCUUCUUGAGUCAUUUUUCAGAGAACCACCCCCGCUUCAGUUAUCUGGACUUGGGAGGCCUUUUCCAGCCUCAGGGACCCUGACUACCUUUUCUUCCCAACAACUAUUAUUAGCGGGAGAAGCAUGUUGUACCGCAGAGAACACAAACUUGGGAGCAGAAGAGACCUGGGCUCGAAUUCGGGUUCUGUCACUUAUUGGCUGUGUAACUUUUGACAAGUCACUUCACCUCUCUGAGCCUCAGUUCCCACACCUGGAAAAUGGGGGGAUUUUGACCUACCUAAGGGUUUGUUUCAAGAAUGACAAGAAAGAUGAUGGACAUAAAUAGACCUAGUACAGUGCGUGACAUCAAGUGGGCAGCGGACACAACGAAGUUCCCUUCUCCUCAUCCCUAUUCAGUCCUUCUCCCCGUCUUCAUUACUGGCUAGUCUGCACGGCCCCAGUGAAAACGUUCCCUAAAUGCCCACUUUUAGCAAGGAACAGCAAUCAAUCCAGACAACUCAGAACGGCCGCCUCCACUCUGGCUGCUAUGUUUUUCCGCAGGUUUCCUGCAGCUUGCUAACUGACCCACCUCUUGAGAGCACCGCUCUCCUGUUCAUUCAUUCAUUCACACACUUGGUUAUCCAUGCAUUCAACAAAUAUUGACCUGAAACCACUAUGUGCCAGGCAUGGUGGUAAACACGGGGGUCAUGGAGUGAACAAGGAGGCGAAUGAGGCUCCUGCUGUCACGGACCUCACAGACAAAUGGACUUUUCCCAUCUUGAUGUGCUUAAACACAGAAGAGUGAUGAUAAAGUGAGUGACAAGACUCUGGUGGCUCUCCUUCCAGACCCAGCCUCUGGUACUGUGUUGGUUUCCAAGGCCACCAUAUCAAAGAAUCACAAACUUAGUAGCUUAAAACACCAGAAGUUUAUUCUCUCACAGUUCUGGAGGCCAGAAGUCCAAAGUCCAGUUGCCAGCAGGACUGUGC
This 1548-nucleotide long non-coding RNA is filed under the name Equus caballus (horse). Its description in RNAcentral is "lncRNA (ENSECAG00000056461.1)". The record is from RNAcentral. Lineage: Eukaryota; Metazoa; Chordata; Mammalia; Perissodactyla; Equidae.